GGGGUUGUGGCUCAGUGGCAGAGCGCUUGCCUAGCAUGUGUGAGGCACUGGGUUCGAUUCUCAGCACCA
Non-coding RNA from Ictidomys tridecemlineatus (thirteen-lined ground squirrel), 69 nucleotides. The record is from Rfam. NCBI's taxonomy places the organism in Eukaryota, Metazoa, Chordata, Mammalia, Rodentia, Sciuridae.